RNAcentral lists this transfer RNA (76 nucleotides) under Marinobacter koreensis. RNAcentral's name for it is "tRNA-Ala". It matches the Rfam family "tRNA". From Rfam's summary of the family: Transfer RNA (tRNA) molecules are approximately 80 nucleotides in length. Their secondary structure includes four short double-helical elements and three loops (D, anti-codon, and T loops). The record is from RNAcentral. RNAcentral also lists the same sequence under 1 other name. Lineage: Bacteria; Pseudomonadati; Pseudomonadota; Gammaproteobacteria; Pseudomonadales; Marinobacteraceae.
GGGGCCAUAGCUCAGCUGGGAGAGCGCAACACUGGCAGUGUUGAGGUCGGCGGUUCGAUCCCGCUUGGCUCCACCA